AACGAACGCUGGCGGCAGGCCUAACACAUGCAAGUCGAGCGAGGACUUCGGUUCUAGCGGCGGACGGGUGAGUAACGCGUGGGAAUGUGCCCUUCUCUACGGAAUAGCCCGGGAAACUGGGAGUAAUACCGUAUACGCCCUAUUGGGGAAAGAUUUAUCGGAGAAGGAUCAGCCCGCGUUGGAUUAGGUAGUUGGUGGGGUAAUGGCCUACUAAGCCGACGAUCCAUAGCUGGUUUGAGAGGAUGAUCAGCCACACUGGGACUGAGACACGGCCCAGACUCCUACGGGAGGCAGCAGUGGGGAAUCUUAGACAAUGGGCGCAAACCUGAUCUAGCCAUGCCGCGUGAGUGAUGAAGGCCUUAGAGUUGUAAAGCUCUUUCAGCUGGGAAGAUAAUGACGGUACCAGCAGAAGAAGCCCCGGCUAACUCCGUG
This 432-nucleotide ribosomal RNA is filed under the name uncultured bacterium. RNAcentral describes it as "partial 16S ribosomal RNA". It matches the Rfam family "Bacterial small subunit ribosomal RNA", at positions 29 to 507 of the family's 1533-position model. The record is from RNAcentral.